Molecule: unclassified non-coding RNA, 54 nt
Filed under: Canis lupus familiaris (dog)
Lineage: Eukaryota; Metazoa; Chordata; Mammalia; Carnivora; Canidae
Description: RNA Expansion segment ES7 part II from Canis lupus familiaris (PDB 4V5Z, chain BE)
Source: RNAcentral
CGCGCGAGCUCGACGCGUGCUGCGCCGCGGCGCAGCACGCGUCGAGCUCGCGCG